AUGGUCAUACUUUAUAGGAUCACUUCUAUAGUGCAAUUACCGGGUUUCUCGCCGAGAUUCUCGGAAUAUAUUCAACCACGAUGAGGACUGUUAGUGUAAUCCUCUGAGCGGGAAGCGGUUCUCAAGUGUUUUGCUUGAGAGAUUGAUGACCGUUCUGACUUGGUUUACCGAUGUUCAGAGGAGGAUGACAGGCUGAGUGGU
This 201-nucleotide small nucleolar RNA is filed under the name Penaeus chinensis. RNAcentral's name for it is "small nucleolar RNA U3". It matches the Rfam family "Small nucleolar RNA U3". Rfam says of the family: Small nucleolar RNAs (snoRNAs) are involved in the processing and modification of rRNA in the nucleolus. There are two main classes of snoRNAs: the box C/D class, and the box H/ACA class. U3 snoRNA is a member of the box C/D class. Lineage: Eukaryota; Metazoa; Arthropoda; Malacostraca; Decapoda; Penaeidae. The record is from RNAcentral.